RNAcentral lists this ribosomal RNA (522 nucleotides) under uncultured bacterium. RNAcentral's name for it is "bacterial SSU rRNA". It matches the Rfam family "Bacterial small subunit ribosomal RNA", at positions 989 to 1509 of the family's 1533-position model. The record is from RNAcentral.
CCUCUGACCGCUCUAGAGAUAGAGCUUCUCUUCGGAGCAGGGGACACAGGUGGUGCAUGGUUGUCGUCAGCUCGUGUCGUGAGAUGUUGGGUUAAGUCCCGCAACGAGCGNAACCCCUAAUGUUAGUUGCCAGCAGGUGAAGCUGGGCCCUCUAACGUGACUGCCGGUGACAAACCGGAGGAAGGUGGGGAUGACGUCAAAUCAUCAUGCCCCUUAUGACCUGGGCUACACACGUACUACAAUGGCCAGUACAACGGGAAGCGAAGUCGCGAGAUGGAGCGAAUCCUAUCAAAGCUGGUCUCAGUUCGGAUUGCAGGCUGCAACUCGCCUGCAUGAAGUCGGAAUUGCUAGUAAUCGCGGAUCAGCAUGCCGCGGUGAAUACGUUCCCGGGUCUUGUACACACCGCCCGUCACACCACGAGAGUUUACAACACCCGAAGCCGGUGGGGUAACCGCAAGGAGCCAGCCGUCGAAGGUGGGGUAGAUGAUUGGGGUGAAGUCGUAACAAGGUAAGCGUAGUGCU